RNA transcript from Ricinus communis (castor bean), 585 nucleotides. RefSeq lists it as uncharacterized. NCBI's taxonomy places the organism in Eukaryota, Viridiplantae, Streptophyta, Magnoliopsida, Malpighiales, Euphorbiaceae. The transcript has 2 exons. The record is from RefSeq and is a predicted model, not a curated record.
AAUCGGGAUGGGAGGUAUUCCAUGGGUUAUAUUUUCAGAAACAAAAUAACUAAAUUCUGCCUUAAAUUUCUCUUCAUUCUACAACUUGUAAAGACAAAAAAAGCCAGAUAUCAAUGUUAUCUUGUAAGGUAGAGCAUGGUUACAGAACAGUAUUUUGUUUCAGAUAUUCCCAUAAAUAUUAAGGGAGUAGCUGGAGGAUUCGUGAAUCUGAUACACUGGUUUAGUGCAUGGACAGUGUCCUACUCAUUCAACUUUUUAAUGGCUUGGAGCUCUUCAGGUACCUUUUACCUGUACUCGAGCUUUUGUGCUGGAGCUAUUCUCUUUGUAGCAAAGCUAGUGCCAGAAACCAAGGGAAGAACUUUGGAGGAAAUACAAGCCUCCAUGAAUCCCUGAAAGGAAUGAGUUCCCUGAUAACAUGAUCCAGGGAAAAUAUAAGAAGUUUUGUUUCUUCUGGAUAUUAAUGCCCUUUCUUCAUGUUUUCUCUCUCAUAAUAUGUACCUAACAUUUAUUCCAUUCUUUCAUUUUAAUGGUUCUCCAGAUUAUGUACCGGCCAUCAUCAGCUUGAUGUAAUUCUGUUGUUGAAAA